CUGGGCUAUGGGGACAUGUACCCCCAGACAUGGUCAGGCAUGCUGGUGGGGGCCUUGUGUGCCCUGGCUGGGGUGUUGACCAUUGCCAUGCCCGUUCCUGUCAUUGUCAACAAC
Scleropages formosus (Asian bonytongue) is the source of this 114-nucleotide regulatory RNA element. It matches the Rfam family "Potassium channel RNA editing signal". Rfam says of the family: This family represents a group of sequences related to the human potassium channel Kv1.1 hairpin element which directs the efficient modification of an adenosine to inosine by an adenosine deaminase acting on RNA (ADAR). The ADAR modification causes an isoleucine/valine recoding event which lies in the ion-conducting pore of the potassium channel. Lineage: Eukaryota; Metazoa; Chordata; Actinopteri; Osteoglossiformes; Osteoglossidae. The record is from Rfam.